RNAcentral lists this ribosomal RNA (467 nucleotides) under uncultured bacterium. RNAcentral's name for it is "partial 16S ribosomal RNA". It matches the Rfam family "Bacterial small subunit ribosomal RNA", at positions 28 to 506 of the family's 1533-position model. The record is from RNAcentral.
GACGAACGCUGGCGGCGUGCUUAACACAUGCAAGUCGAACGGAAAGGCCCUGCUUUUGUGGGGUGCUCGAGUGGCGAGCGGGUGAGUAACACGUGAGUAACCUGCCCUUGACUUUGGGAUAACUUCAGGAAACUGGGGCUAAUACCGGAUAGGAGCUCCUGCUGCAUGGUGGGGGUUGGAAAGUUUCGGCGGUUGGGGAUGGACUCGCGGCUUAUCAGCUUGUUGGUGGGGUAGUGGCUUACCAAGGCUUUGACGGGUAGCCGGCCUGGGAGGGUGACCGGCCCCAUGGGGGCUGAGUUCCGCCCCGACCUCCUCCGGGGGGGAGGGGGGGGGAUUUUGGCCAAUGGGGGGGAGGCCGUAUGCAGCAACCCCGCGGGGGGGAUGCCGGCCUUCGGGUUGUAACCCGUUUUCGCCUGGGCCGAAGGGGGGGUGGCGGUAAGGGUAAAAGAAGCACCGGCUACCUCCGU